This 159-nucleotide ribosomal RNA is filed under the name Verrucaria latebrosa. RNAcentral's name for it is "5.8S ribosomal RNA". It matches the Rfam family "5.8S ribosomal RNA". Rfam says of the family: 5.8S ribosomal RNA (5.8S rRNA) is a component of the large subunit of the eukaryotic ribosome. It is transcribed by RNA polymerase I as part of the 45S precursor that also contains 18S and 28S rRNA. The record is from RNAcentral. Lineage: Eukaryota; Fungi; Ascomycota; Eurotiomycetes; Verrucariales; Verrucariaceae.
AAACUUUCAACAACGGAUCUCUUGGUUCUGGCAUCGAUGAAGAACGCAGCGAAAUGCGAUAAGUAAUGCGAAUUGCAGAAUUCCGUGAGUCAUCGAAUCUUUGAACGCACAUUGCGCCCUUUGGUAUUCCGAAGGGCAUGCCUGUCCGAGCGUCAUUAU